RNAcentral lists this long non-coding RNA (1953 nucleotides) under Homo sapiens (human). Its description in RNAcentral is "HSALNT0292596". The record is from RNAcentral. Lineage: Eukaryota; Metazoa; Chordata; Mammalia; Primates; Hominidae.
GGUUGCAUUACUGCCUGGCAACCUGAGUCUGGGCUCCACUCCGGAGGGGCGGCACAGAUUGAAAUAGCUGAGGCAAGUUUACUUUUCCCUGUCCAGGUGCUCUCCUGCCGCCAACACAGCCCUAAUGAGCUCUGCAUAUUCAAAACACAAGUAAUUGAUAGUCCAAUUUAAAGUGUGCAGAGGCCAAAUUUCUUUCCAGACGCUGAAGGAAAAACACCAGCUGAGGAAGAAUGAAGAACUGCCUGUUCUAAGUUAUUCUCCUUCUGUGGUCAUUCGAGCACCAGGAAGACCAGGUUUGCCCCAUCAAGUACCUCAAGAAAGAAGUCAAUUACCUAAAGAAGUCAAGCAAAGAGGAAAGGACAAAAUGAAAAUCAUGUACCAGGGUACACGUCGAGGCUCCAAGCUGGAAUGAAUAUGGCCUUCAACAUACUCUUUAUCAUACAGAAGCUUGUGUUCAGGGCUUGGAUUUUGAAGUCAGACAGACCUGGAUUAAAAACCAAUUCAACUACCUAUUACAUAUGUGACCUAGCAUGUCCCAAAUAUGGGCUGUUCCUUCAACCUGGGUCUUGGAAUGAAGAAGAUAUAUGGAGUAGAGCCAUGAACACACUGUUGCUGCCUCUGACAACAACACAAGAGAGAAAUGAACCUUUGAAAAAUAACAUAUCUGAGUUCAAUGUUGAGCAUGCUGAGUUGAGGUGCAUAGGGGAUAAAUUCAGUAGGAUAUAUUAGUUUGAAUUUUAGGAAAGAGAGCUAGAUGAGAGUUACAUAUUGUUGUUCAUCUGGCCACAGAUGGUACUUGAAGCUUCGAGAUUCAUUGAAAUCCCAGGGAGAAUAGCAGCAUAAAAGAGGGAGGGAAUAAACAUUGACUCAACAACAUUAAAGUGAUGGUAGAGGAAGAGAAGUGUGGGGGAGGUUGGGAAGGACGGGCAGGGGAAAUGGAAGCCACAUUAGCUAUAAAGAAAAGUGAGUUAUCUUCAGCUUCAGCACUGGAAUUGCUCUUGAGAAAGAAAUGCCUUUGUUCUUGUCUUUCAGUAAUAUCACUUCAUGUGAGCUUGAAAACAGCCUUGUGAGGUGUAGUUAGAGGAGAAUAGACACAUUCGUCUCCAAGGUAGAAGUGAGGAAACUAAGACUCAAAGGAAUAAACACCUUGCCCAAGUUUUUUUAAAAAUUUAAUUUGAAAUUGUGGUGAACAAAACCCACAUAAUAUAAAAUUUACCAUCUUACCCACUUCUAAGUAUAUGGUUCAGUAGUGUAUAAUAUAUUCACAUUGUUGUGCAACCAAUCUCCAGAACUUCUACAUCUUGCAAAAUUGAAAAUCAGUACCAAUUAAACAUUAACUCCCCAUUCUCCUCACCCCACAUCCCUGGGAAACCACCAUUCUACUUUCUGUCUCUAUGGAUUUGUCCACUCCAGGUACCUCAUAUAAGUGGAAUCCUAUAAUAUUUGUCCUUUUGUGUGUGGCUUAUUUCACUUAGCGUAGUGUGCUCAAGGUUCAUUCAUGCUGUAGGAUGUGUCAGAAUUUCUUUCCUUUUUAAGGCUGAAUAAUACUCCUUUGUGUAUACAGACCUCAUUUUGUUUGUUCAUUCAUUGUCAAUGGACACUCCAGCUGCUUCCACCUCUUGGCCCCUGUGAAUCAUGCCUCAGAGCAUGGGUGUGAGGCAUUGUCUUUUUGAGGCAAAGAGGACAGAAGGGGGACCCUGAGAGCAUGUUGUAAAGACAAUAAAAAAGAUUUCAUUACUGCCCUGUAUGAGGAAAUGAGGGGAGUUUUGCUCCUGAAGGAGUCAGGGAAAGAAGAAUGGAGAGGGGCCAAAAAGGAGAGGUGGUGAGAGAUGAUCCAGGGAGGUGGGGAAGGGUAGGGAUUAUCUGGGGUGAAGGGGCCAGUGAAAAUUGUCUAUUGUUUUGUGGUCAAAGAACAGAGGUAUUUUGUGUUCAAUAUAAAGUGGUUAAAGUGCA